AUGAAACGGCCUCGUCAUCAGAAGUUGAAAACGAGAUCCCGACGGAAAGAAUGGUCAGAUCUCGUGGCCACGCCACGCAACAUGCAGAGCCACCGCCCCGCCACCGAAGACCACGUCCGAGAAGAAAGCAGAAGCGCACGAGCCCAACCAACCACCAGGGCGCGCGCGGCGGCGACGAGGACAACCGUCACCCCUGCGAGACGCUCGGCAUUCAUGUCCGUCCCCUCCGACUCCGGCCAGGAGACACCGCCCUCGGCGACCGAGAGCGGUCGGACGCGCCUCCAGGACGAGCAGCUGGGGCAGCUCCGGGAGCUCUUCAUCCGCUUCGACCUCGACGGCGACGGCAGUCUCACCAAGCUCGAGAUAGCCGCGCUUCUCCGCUCGCUCGGUCUCCGCCCCGCCGAGGGGGACGAGAUCCACACCCUCAUCGCCUCCAUGGACAUCGACGGCAACGGCACCGUGGAGUUCGACGAGCUAACCUCUUCCCUCUCCCAGCUGCUCCUCGGGCCCGGCCGCUCCUCCGUCGCCGUUGACCACGAGCAGCUAGCCGAGGCCUUCCGCGCCUUCGACCGCGACGGCAACGGAUACAUCUCCGCCGCCGAGCUCGCGCGCUCCAUGGCGCAAAUGGGGCACCCCAUCUGCUACGCGGAGCUCAACGACAUGAUGCGCGAGGCCGACACCGACGGCGACGGCUCCAUCAGCUUUGAGGAGUUCGCCGCCAUCAUGGCCAAGUCCGCCGUCGAAUUUCUCGGCCUCGCCGUGUUGUGA
This 768-nucleotide ribosomal RNA is filed under the name Triticum aestivum (bread wheat). RNAcentral describes it as "partial small subunit ribosomal RNA". Lineage: Eukaryota; Viridiplantae; Streptophyta; Magnoliopsida; Poales; Poaceae. The record is from RNAcentral.